AUUAAAUAAACCCAUAUGUCUUUUCUCCAUCUUCAAAUAUCAGUGAGGAAAUUUGCAGAUAUCAAAGUUGAUGUGAAGGAGUUUAAGAAAUGCUACCCACACUGACUAUUCUCCAACCUGGAGCUCAGCUAAGUCCCUCUUUGAAGAUGGAGUAAUGGCAGCCUGUACUGCAAAUGUUGGCAAGUUUAAAGCUGCUUUUCCCAGAAUGCCUUGAGUUAAGGCUCUAGAUGUGUUUAGGUUAUGACACUCACAUAUCCUCCUACAAUUCCUGAAUUGAGCCGUUACCCAAGGAAAGAAGCAGUGGCAGAGAUCACCAUUUUGCUGGUGCACAUCUAGUAGACACAGCAUGUUCCAGGAGUUCAUACUUGUGCAAAUUUCCUCACCUCCAUUUCAAGCCACAGUAGAGAAAUUCUAAAGGCAGACCAGCAAAGGGGACAGUAGAUUCCCUGGCUGUGGCAUGAGAGUUUUGAAGAGUCAAUCAGAGCUUGGCCUAGAGCCCACAAGUACCCACAUUCCUGUUUCAAAAUAGUUUAUGUUUUUAAAAAUAGCUAGAAAAGUCUUGUCUGUAACCACAAUCAAAAUGACAGAUAUCUGAAAGGCAUUCAUUUCAGUAAACAGUUGUUUACGGUUUGGAUAUAAAGCGACCCCCAAAAGCUCAUGAGUGAGGCAAUAUAGAAAUGUAAGAGGUGAAAUAAUUACAUUAUGAGAGCUAUAUCCUAAUCAGUGUAUUUUUCCAUUUGAUGGACUAAUAGUUUGAAUGGAUAAAUAAAUGGGUGGUAACUGUAGGCAGGUGGAGCAUGACUGGAGGAAGUGGGCCGUGGGAGGGUAUGCCCUUUGGGAUUACAUUAUCCCUGGUUCCUUGCUCUGUUUCUGCUUCCUGGCUGUCAUGAACUGAACAGCCUCCCUCUGGGGUACCCUUCUGCCAGAUGUUCUUCCUCAUCUUGUGCCUAGAACAAUGGAGUUGGCUGACUAAGGACUGGACCUCUGAAACUGUGAGCCAAACCAAACAUCUCUCCCCCUAAAUUGUUCUUGUCAGGUCUUUCAGUCACAGCAUCGAAAAGCUAACUAAAACAAUAGUAUCAACAAUUGCAUAGUUCCUUAGGACAAAAAGUUUAUUUGCUAUGUUAUAGAUUUCAUGGCCUACUCAUCACUUACUUCUCAGCACUAUUUUCAAAAUAUAUUCUAAAUCAUCCUUCCUCUCUUUACUGCCUAGACUCUGACACUGUGCCCAAAUAAAAUGAAACAUGGCAAUAUUUAGAAGAACAAGAGUUUGUUUCAUUUGCAAAAAUAUUGACAGUAAUUACAGAGUAAUACUAGAUCUCUUCAAGAAAGCACAAAAUAAAGUCUCUAAGAAACUGCAAUAGAAUAAUGAAGGCUACAAAUUUUUGCUGAGAGAAAUUAAGGAAGGCCUGCCUUAAUGGAAUUAUAUACCAUGUUCAUGGCCAAGAAACUCAAUAUUGUUAACAUGUCAGUUCUCCCCAGGUUCAUUAUAGAUUCAAAGCAAUUCCCAUCAAGAAAGUAGCAAAGCUUUAAAAAAAAUUUAAAAAUGGAUAUAAAAUUAAUGUAGAAAAGUGAAGAAUCUAGGCUGUCCAAAACAUUUUAAAAUCAGAACAAAAUGGCAGCCCUUAUGCUAUCUGAUUUUCAGAUUUACUAUAAAGCUUCAGACAUUUUUUAAAAAGUGAGUUAUUGACCUAAAAUUAGUGAUAUAAAUCAAUGAAACAAAAUAAACAUUCCAAAAAUAGGCUCACACAUAAGGUUAAUUGGUUUUUGACAAUGAUGACAAGCAUUUAGUAGAGAAAAGACAUUUUCUCUAAACAAAGAUUCAAAACAACUGGAUAUUCAUAUAAAAAGGCACUUCAGUUCUUACCUCUACCUCACACAAACAGUAACAGGAUAAAACACAGACCUAUUUAUAAAGCUAAAACUACAAAAUUUCUAGAAGAAAACAUACAAGGAAAUCUUAUUAUUUUUGAUCAAUUCAGAUUUCUCUGGACAUCAUAAGCAAAAACUAUAAAAGAAAAGCUGUGAUAAAUAGGGCCUCAUAGAAAUUC
Molecule: long non-coding RNA, 2051 nt
Filed under: Marmota monax (woodchuck)
Lineage: Eukaryota; Metazoa; Chordata; Mammalia; Rodentia; Sciuridae
Source: RNAcentral